UUCCGUAGGGUGAACCUGCGGAGGGAUCAUUACCGAGUUUACAACUCCCAAACCCCUGUGAACAUACCACUUGUUGCCUCGGCGGAUCAGCCCGCUCCCGGUAAAACGGGACGGCCCGCCAGAGGACCCCUAAACUCUGUUUCUAUAUGUAACUUCUGAGUAAAACCAUAAAUAAAUCAAAACUUUCAACAACGGAUCUCUUGGUUCUGGCAUCGAUGAAGAACGCAGCAAAAUGCGAUAAGUAAUGUGAAUUGCAGAAUUCAGUGAAUCAUCGAAUCUUUGAACGCACAUUGCGCCCGCCAGUAUUCUGGCGGGCAUGCCUGUUCGAGCGUCAUUUCAACCCUCAAGCACAGCUUGGUGUUGGGACUCGCGUUAAUUCGCGUUCCUCAAAUUGAUUGGCGGUCACGUCGAGCUUCCAUAGCGUAGUAGUAAAACCCUCGUUACUGGUAAUCGUCGCGGCCACGCCGUUAAACCCCAACUUCUGAAUGUGACCUCGGAUCAGGUA
Molecule: ribosomal RNA, 505 nt
Filed under: Fusarium oxysporum
Lineage: Eukaryota; Fungi; Ascomycota; Sordariomycetes; Hypocreales; Nectriaceae
Description: eukaryotic LSU rRNA
Rfam family: 5.8S ribosomal RNA (bases 181-334)
Source: RNAcentral